RNAcentral lists this ribosomal RNA (664 nucleotides) under Meloidodera mexicana. Its description in RNAcentral is "eukaryotic LSU rRNA". It matches the Rfam family "Eukaryotic large subunit ribosomal RNA", at positions 408 to 902 of the family's 3401-position model. Lineage: Eukaryota; Metazoa; Nematoda; Chromadorea; Rhabditida; Heteroderidae. The record is from RNAcentral.
AUGAGGUGGAAACGGACAGAGCUGGCGUAUCUGGCCUGUAUUCAGCCUUGGGCCUCGUUGGUGAUUGGUUGGCGCUCUCCAGACUGGGACGCUUGCUGGUUUUCCGGCGGGGUUCAUGGUGCAUUUGCAGGUGGUGUGCGCUGAGGCGCCCGGUGCAGCUGCAUGAGAUCGGCUUUGAGGCCAGCUCCGCAAGGGGUAUGGUACCCGGGCCGGGGGAGUGCUGUUUGUGCUGGGUGGAUGUGGGUGGCAAUGGAGUCGGGCUCGUGUGGGCGCCGAGUUGGCAAUGGGUGGCGGCCGCUUGCGACACGUGCCUACGGUCAGUUCGGUCCUGCUCGAGCUCACAUUCGCUCGUUCUCAGUGUAAAAGCCGGUCAUCUGUCCGACCCGUCUUGAAACACGGACCAAGGAGUUUAGCGUGUGCGCGAGUCAUUGGGUGUUGAAAACCUAAGGGCGCAAUGAAAGUGAAGGUGCCCUCACGGGGCUGAUGUGCGAUCCUGGUGCACUGCGGUGCCUGGGCGCAGCAUGGUCCCGUCCCGAUCGCAUGCGAUGGGGCGGAGACAGAGCGUACGCGCUGAGACCCGAAAGAUGGUGAACUAUUCCUGAGCAGGACGAAGCCAGAGGAAACUCUGGUGGAAGUCCGAAGCGAUUCUGACGUGCAAAUCGAU